GACGAACGCUGGCGGCGUGCCUAAUACAUGCAAGUCGAACGCAGUGGGGACGGGUGAGUAACACGUGGGUAACCUCCCAUCAGAGGGGAUAACACUUGGAAACAGGUGCUAAACCGGUACUGAUGGUUGGACCCGCGGGUCAUUAGCUAGUUGGGGAGGUAACUGCUCACCAAGGCCCCGAUGCAUAGCGUACCUGAGAGUGUGAUCGGCCUCACUGGGAGUGAGACACGGACCAGACGCCUACGGGAGGCAGCAGUAGUGAAUCUUCGGCAAUGGACGAAAGUCUGACCGAGCAACGCCGCGUGAGUGAAGAAGGUGUUCGGAUCUUAAAACUCUGUUGUUAGAGAAGCGGUAUCUAACCAGAAAGCCACGGCUAACUACGUGCCAGCAGCCGCGGUAAUUC
This 403-nucleotide ribosomal RNA is filed under the name uncultured bacterium. RNAcentral's name for it is "partial 16S ribosomal RNA". It matches the Rfam family "Bacterial small subunit ribosomal RNA", at positions 28 to 526 of the family's 1533-position model. The record is from RNAcentral.